UAAACCUAAAGUGUUCUGUCUCUCAUUCUCUUCUUCCUUGUGAGAGUGAAUAGCCGUCAUUGACAUCUUCUUUUCCUCCAUUGAUAUCUUCUUCUAAACACAUAGCCUGUUCUCAGCUCCAACAAUGGUGCCUGGGAUGGUCUAAUGGCUGUCUGACAGACUCUUAUAUCUUUUUUGUUAUGUUUUUACUAGCUGGUUGGCGUUCUAAAGCUGAUUAAGUUCUAAUUGCAUAGCCUUCGAGUUAUGGAACCGUAAGCCGAUUAAGUUCUAAUUGCAUAGCCUUCAGGUUAUGGUACCGUGGAUGAUCGUUCUCAGCUCCAACAAUGGUGUCUGCAAUGGUCCAAUGGCUGUCUGACAGACUCUUAAAUCUUUUUUUGCUAUGUUUUACUGGCUUGUUGGCGUUCAAAAGCCGAGAGUCGACAUUGUGCUGGAAGACUGGCUAGUUCCUGUUCUAUUGAGAAGCUGAAGAAUCUGAUCAUAUUUCUCUCUAGAGAAUGUGCAACCUGUCAUCUGAUUGAGUUGAUUGAAAUUAAGACCAGCUAUAGAUCCUUGGUCCUCAGUAGUUGUAGGAGCUUGAUUUGUAUUCAUAGUCAAAUUCUGCAAAUGACCCCUUGCAUCAUUGUACCCACUGUAUGUCUGUUGCGUUAGAUUGUCUGUAAUGACAUUGUAAGUUGCAUUGUUUCCUGCUCCCCCUUUCUUCCCUGGUCUGUAAUCAGGUGGAUAACCCACUAUUUUGUAGCAAUUUUCUCUGUUGUGACCCUUGAGUUUACAGAAAUCACUGAAUGUUAUAGUUUUUCUUGAA
Molecule: long non-coding RNA, 802 nt
Organism: Nicotiana attenuata
Lineage: Eukaryota; Viridiplantae; Streptophyta; Magnoliopsida; Solanales; Solanaceae
Exons: 2
Source: RefSeq, a predicted model, not a curated record